GCAGAGGCGCUUCUUCCUGCGGACGGCAGUGCUGGCCAUGCACAACCCCCGGCUGCGUGUCAGCCAGGCUGGGCUGCUCCUCACUUACUCCCUGCUGGGGCAAGCCCAGCAGCUGCUGGGGGACAAGCAGGAGGAGGUCACCUAUAAGGUGACGCAACAACUGCACAUCAUCCACAACUUGCACCAAGUGCCUGAGGCGGUGCAGGAGCUCUGCCUUCGAGGCCACCAGCUACUCCCACUCCCUGUAAACGGGGAGUGUAGUGAGACUGAGUGGUCUCCCUCCGACUGGGAGAGCGAGAGACCCCCUACACGCCUCUUGGAGGCUGGGGCCUAUAUUGCCCCGCCCCCCUCGCCCUAAGAACUGGAGCGUGGCCGGAAGUAUAAAAGGCCUGCCGUGCUGCACAGUUGGGGGAGAGCCUGCAAGAGAGGAGGACGCUCGGCCUGUUCUCCAGAGGCCCAGAGAGGAUCCCGCUCCUGGCUGUUCCCGAUCCCCAGGCGUGGACGAGGACUGGCCCGGAGUCCCCGCUGCGGUUUACCCCAAGGAGCCGGAAGAGGCCUGGAGGCCGCAGGUACCAAACCCUGGGGAGGCAGGAAGUAGCCCAGGGGCAGCCCUGGAGCAGCCGGCUGCAGAGCCCAGCACAGCUCAGUCGGCAUGUUGCGGCCGGAUCCCCGCCGACGCAGGGGCAGCCAAGGGCCCGCUUCCCCCUGCCACCCCAUCCCAGGUGGCUGACCCCCUACGUGGUGCAAGGAGGCUCUAGCCCAGGACAGGAGCUCCCUUAUCACUGACCUGGAGGGUGUUUGUUGGCUGGCCACCGGGGCCCCACCCAGGCUAGAGCCAGCCCUGUCAAGACUGUUUGCUCGCUGGCUGCUUGGUUCCACCCAGGCCGGAGCCACUCUGGCAGACUGUGCUGGGGGCUGACCACUUGAGCGACCCCAGCCCGGCAGGGCCGGCUCUACCAUUUUUACCACCACAAGGAAAAACAAAAAGGCGGCUCGGACUGCUGCUGCCCAAACUGCUGAAGCUGCCCGGACUCUGCUGCCCCAGGAAUGGCCGGAUUGCCGCCCCUUAGCAUGUGCCGCCCCAGGCACGUGCUGGCUCCGCUGGUGCCUGGAGCCGGCCCUGCAGCCCAGGCCGCAGCCUGGUAACGACAGUUGAUGACUGUGGUGGGGUGACUGCCCCAUGCCCAUGCAAGAGGGCGCUUGAGUAGGCCAGAGCGGCUGUGAAGGCCGGCAGCCAAUCAGAGAAGGGCCUACUGAAAGCUAAUCAGGGCCGAGAUUAGAGCCAGCCAAUCAGGGCUAGGAUAGGCCCUAUAUAAAGGCUGCCCAGGAGCACAGUAGGCAGUCUGUCCCAGAACUUCAUGGAGGAAGGUGUGUCUCCAGAGCAGGAGACCAGCACCUCAGACUGAGCAGUACUGCACCUGGGCAUGUGGUGGCCGAGACAAAUUGCAACCAGCUCUUGAGACAAGGGGCUAGACUUUGGGGUUGUGGUUGGCCACUGAGGCAGGUGCAAGGACUGUUGCUAACCGCCCCCGCCGCCGCCCUUCACCCUCAAAAGGGGAUGAGGAUGAAGGACGCUGUCAAGCAGGGAGCAACACGGGUCCAGCCACCAACGGAGGACAAGAGAUGGACAGGACACUGCCAGCAGAGGGCGCUCCCCAUGGACUUGGACAGAGCAGUGCUGGGCAGACUCAUGGGGAGCAUAGUAGGGCUCCGGCCCAAGACCUGCCAGACUCCGGGCCCUGAUAGAAAGGGCCUAGAGAGUGCGAGGGGCCGGAGGGGAAGUGGCCCAGGGACAGUUGGACAAAGGGAGAGCAGGGGGGCUGCCACUAGAUGGUCCCUGGGUUGGGACCCAGAGUACUGGGCAGGCGUGGGUCCCCCCCUUCCCUCUUGUACUGCACCUGGCCAUGUGGUGGCUGAGACAACUUCCAACGAGCCCUUGAGACAAUGGGUUAGACUUUGGGGGCUGUGGUUGGCCACUGAGGCAGGUGCAAGGACUGUUGGUAAUCCCUCCGGAAGGGGGUGAGCAUGGACUAAGGGGCACUGCCAGAGAGCAGUGGCCUGUAGAAGGACACCGUCAAGUGGGGAGCAAUGCGGGUCCAGACGCCAAGGGAGGACAAGAGACGGACAGGACACCGCCAGCAGAGCGCGCUUCCCAUAGACUGAGCUAAUUACCAGAGCGCCCAGUGGGAGGCGCCAUGGUGAUGAGCUCCAACCCCGUCACAUGUGGUGGAGAAUGCAGUCACGGGCGGACCGCCCUGAUACUAGGGGCAAGAGCGAGGACUAAACAGAUUGUGUCACAUUGAGAGACUGAGACAAAAUGGUGGAGAAAAGAGACUUCUAUUGGAGGGCCUGGGUGGCUCAGCUCGCCGAGCAGCAGAGGGAGUUGUUCUGGCUGCUGCGGGGGUCGGCACCCAGGCCAAACGAGAUCCGGCCCCAUGGGCGAGAGGCCAGGGCUGGGAACUCUGAACUGCUUCGCCUGUAGGUGACGGGGACGCUACAGGAGGGAGUGUCCCUACUGGGAGGGGGCAGAGAGGCCCCACCCAGAAAAGGCACCCUCUGCUUGUUGGGUCUGAGGGGAGCCAGGGCACCUGAAGAGAGAGUGCCCCUACAGGACUGCCAAGGCCCGGGCCAGCCCAGAAGGAAGGGCCAGGGCCCAAACAAGCAGGAGUAGGGACGUGGCAGGUGGAAGACCCAGAAAGUGCUUCCACUGCCACAAAGAGGGACAUUUAAAGAGGCACUGCCCCCUGAGGCAGAAAGGGGGAGUGUCUGAGACAAGGGCUCGGUCUGAGACCCCACCCAGGGAAGGGGUGGUGAAGACCGAGGCCCCUAGAGAGAAAGGGGCUGGGUAGAGAGGCCCCACCGAAAUGAGGGAACCCACAUAGGAGCCAGGAGGGCCAAUGUGGGAACCCAAACAGAAGUAGGAACCGCGUAGGACCAGGGCGGUCCACAAUGGGAACCCAGACCCUAGAGGUGCGGAGCAGGUUGCUCCAGACUGUGGAGGGUCUGCGAGAGGAAAGGGAUGCCCUGCGGGCCCAGCUGUGAGGGAAGCUGGGGCGAUAGGGACGCCCUUCCUUCCCCCCGUGAGCAUUCUUAAGGGGGGGGGUGGUGGGGUGGCUGCCCCACCCCCAUGUGAGAGGGGGCUAGAGUAGCCCAGAACGGCUGCAUAGGCCGGCAGCCAAUCAAGGAAGGGCCUACUGAGAGCCAAUCAGGGCCGAGAUUAGAGCCAGCCAAUCAGGGUUAGGCUAGGUACUAUAUAAUGGCUGCCCAGGAGCACAGCAGUCAGUCUGUCCCAGAACUUCAUGGAGGAAGGUGUGUCUCCAGAGCAGGAGACCAGCACCUCAGACUGAGCAGUACUGCACCUGGGCAUGUGGUGGCCGAGACAAAUUGCAACCAGCUCUUGAGACAAGGGGCUAGACUUUGGGGUUGUGGUUGGCCACUGAGGCAGGUGCAAGGACUGUUGCUAACCGCCCCCGCCGCCGCCCUUCACCCUCAAAAGGGGAUGAGGAUGAAGGACGCUGUCAAGCAGGGAGCAACACGGGUCCAGCCACCAACGGAGGACAAGAGAUGGACAGGACACUGCCAGCAGAGGGCGCUCCCCAUGGACUGAGCUAAUUCCCGGAGCGACCAGCGGGAGGUGCUGUGGUGGCCCUGGGAUCUGGCACAGCUUCCCAGAUGGGCGCAUCCUGUACCGGAGCCACGUCAGGGGGCAGUGGGGACAGGUCACCUGGUCCUAGCAAAGCAAGCAAUGCUGGCUCUCAAAGAGGCUUAGAUGGAAGACCCCAUUCCCUCAUGGAGGAAGGGGCUCCCCAGAGACUUCCUUGAACCUGGACUCCUGAGAGCAUUUCUGGCAGGAGACUCCAGCCCCUCGGGCACGAAGAGAGCAUCGGGUAGUCUCGGUCGCCAGUUCCACUUCCCACAGCAGGGAAAACGAACCCAUCAGCUCCCAGAAUCCCAACUCUUUGACUUCCUUCCACUCAGCAGUGAGGUUUCUCCAGCCCCCUCACCACACCUGUCAGCCUCUGAAUGUCAGAGUCACCAGAACGAGCAAACUCCAGUUCCAGGCAGUGGGGCCUGUGUGUAUUCAGCCCCUCUGGAAACCAGGUCUGAAAUGAGGAGCAAGGACCCCAGGCCAAUAACAGUAGGAGUGGGCAGAGCAGGCCUGUAAGAGGGUGCUUUCCCCUGGGCUGCACAGCUUGGGACCUAGCCAAGUUGAGGAUAGAACGAGCCCUAACUGAGAGGCAAAAGAGAGGCCAGGCCCUCCCCCUCGAGCGUCGCUUAUUAUAAAUUUUCAAAACUGAAUACAGUGGAGUCACAUCUUACGCAGGGGUUAGGUUAUAAGGUCAGGGGGUGUCAGGGUUGAAUAGUUCUCCCAUGGUCUCUCAGGAAGGGGACAUACAAGGCCAUAGAAAAGGCUACCAAGGCCAGCAAGGGCAAGGCCGAGCCAAAGUCAGGCUGAGGAAAAGCCCCGAAGGGACGGAGGAGCUUGUUUCGGUUAAAGACAUUUUUGGACUUUUCGUUUGGGGUGAUCGCGACCCAGGAAGGAGUGGAAUAAAAGACGGUCACCUGGCUGAAGGGCUGAGUUCCCAGGCAAAAAGCUGCCAGAGUACCCUAGCGACUCUCAGCGGGGGCGCUAGCCCAGCAAGAAAGCUGUGAGACCAGCCUUGCCAGGAAGGGGCACCUCUCGGGCUCGCCAUCCGUCUUGGAGCUGAACCCCAGAUGGGAGCUGAUAGAUUGUCCUUGGUGAGCCAUGUUCUUGUGUGGGAUGGAGCUGAGGGCCAGAGAGGGCCAGGAGCAGAUGCAUCACGCCUGGCCAGGACCGGGAUAAACAGCCUGUAACACUAGACAGGCAGCCCGUGAGUCCAGUUUGCAGAAUGUGGAAGAGCCCUUUGGUGAUGUUUUGGAGGAUUCCCCACGUAGGUGGCAGCAGCUGCAGUGCCUGGGGUCCCCAUGGGCCAAGCCUCCACUCCUGACACUCCAGGCUAAUCUCCCCUGCUCUCAGCGGGGCUUGGCUUUAGCUGCUGGGCCUGCGUGCCUAGACAGAGGACUCAGGUAUUUCCAUCAGGCUGCUCAAUGGCAAAUGCAGCCACCCAAAGAGGUGAAGAAGAAUGGAAGCGAAAGCACAAAGCUGGACCAUCCGCUGAGCUGUUGCAAUCAAGUGAGCAGAGCCGGGGAGAGAAGAGGGAGAACUCGAAGGUGGCUGGCGGCAGUAGGGAGGAGAAGCAGUUUGGGAGCCAAGAGAGUAGAAAUAAAUAGCUCAUGACAAAUACUGUGGCUUUGUCUUGUGUGGUGAAGGGUUGGAAAGGGGUCUCUUUACUGUCACGCUAAACUUUACAAUAGCUGGAUUCAGAGUAGCAGCCGUGUUAGUCUGUAUCCACAAAAAGAACAGGAAUCCUUGUGGCACCUUAGAGACUAACACAUUUAUUUGAGCAUAAGUGCAUUAGGGUUCACAUACGUGAGCACGAGGAGGAACCUUUUGAGUUUUCUCCUUUCCUUACACUGAUUUUACUAGAAAACAGACA
Molecule: long non-coding RNA, 5519 nt
Organism: Mauremys reevesii (Reeves's turtle)
Lineage: Eukaryota; Metazoa; Chordata; Testudines; Geoemydidae
Exons: 6
Source: RefSeq, a predicted model, not a curated record